Triticum aestivum (bread wheat) is the source of this 1013-nucleotide long non-coding RNA. RefSeq lists it as uncharacterized. NCBI's taxonomy places the organism in Eukaryota, Viridiplantae, Streptophyta, Magnoliopsida, Poales, Poaceae. The transcript is spliced from 4 exons. The record is from RefSeq and is a predicted model, not a curated record.
CCCCACCAAACUCUUCGUGAACCUCACCCCACCCCUCGGUCGAACUCCUCUUCCCCACGAUCUCGUCGCCGCCACCACCACCCACGCUGGGACGAGACCGAGGUGGCCAGGCCGCGUCCCAGUCCCGGUCCCUGUACGUGCUGCACCAGUCCACUCACCAGACUCCGCCCGCUCGCCGCUCGUUCCCAAUGCCUGCUCGCCACUCCCGCCGAUCUGCACCGGAGCAGGAAGGGGCAGCAUACCGCCGGACGCCCUGCGCCGCUCCGCAGGCCGGCGCUCGCCUCCGCCGCCACCCGAGGCCUAUGCCGCACCCUCGCCGUCUCCGCCCAGUCGGCCAGCCUCGACGCAGGAGUUGGACCAUGAUCUCGUCGCCCCUCUCCCCCGAUUUCUGAUUCAUUCGCGGCCUCGCGGAUCAAAUCUGGCCGACUGACUGGCUGACGGACUGAUUUCUUGUCGUCACGAUGGAUGUUGCUUUGCAGGUGGCCAGGGUCUCCGCCUUCGGCGGCGUCGUCUACGGCUCCGUCAAGCUCGGCAUCCUCAAGACUUUGUGAAGCCACAGGAGCUAGGGGUUGCACCGCAGGAGCAAUAGCAUGUACAAGUACUGAACAUUGAAGAUUGCAUUGCAGCUCAUCAGUAGAAGAUAGCGACAGAGUUGGAAGGUUUGUGCGGAGAUCUUACCUCGAGGUUAUCACAUAUGCGCACAAUAUGACACGGAAUUGGCCUAAAAUAGGGAGCUACAAGAUAAACUUUUAAAGGUUUACCUCACUGUUUGCUUCAACGAAGAGAUUUGAAGAGUUGCAAAAGGUAAUUUUGGGGAAAAUUUCCGUUGCUGCAAGAUAAUGAGAUGUUGAAGCGGCAGACUGAAUCCAUGACACCGAAGUGCAAUUGCGGAAGAUUAUCUUUAUCUUUCCUUUUCCUUUUUCUUAUUAUUGAGUGAGAACGGAUAGAAUGAGGAAAUGUGUGAUAGUAGAUACAACAUCUGUAGUAAAAAGAAACUUAUGUUUGCAAUUGUU